AACCCGAUCCCAUCUCGAACUCGGCCGUUAAACGCACCAGCGCCCAUGGUACUGUGUCUCAAGACAAGGGAGAGUCGGUCGCCGCAG
This 87-nucleotide ribosomal RNA is filed under the name Methylobacterium marchantiae. The record is from RNAcentral. Lineage: Bacteria; Pseudomonadati; Pseudomonadota; Alphaproteobacteria; Hyphomicrobiales; Methylobacteriaceae.